RNAcentral lists this ribosomal RNA (521 nucleotides) under uncultured bacterium. Its description in RNAcentral is "bacterial SSU rRNA". It matches the Rfam family "Bacterial small subunit ribosomal RNA", at positions 791 to 1320 of the family's 1533-position model. The record is from RNAcentral.
UAGUCCACGCCGUAAACGAUGGAUACUAGCUGUCCGGCCUUCGGGCUGGGUGGCCAAGCGAAAGUGAUAAGUAUCCCACCUGGGGAGUACGUUCGCAAGAAUGAAACUCAAAGGAAUUGACGGGGGCCCGCACAAGCGGUGGAGCAUGUGGUUUAAUUCGAUGAUACGCGAGGAACCUUACCAGGGCUUAAAUGCAUUCGGACAGGGGUGGAAACACCCUUUUCUUCGGACUGUUUGCAAGGUGCUGCAUGGUUGUCGUCAGCUCGUGCCGUGAGGUGUCAGGUUAAGUCCUAUAACGAGCGCAACCCCUGUCGUUAGUUGCCAGCAUGUAAAGAUGGGAACUCUAACGAGACUGCCGGUGCAAACCGCGAGGAAGGUGGGAUGACGUCAAAUCAUCACGGCCCUUACGUCCUGGGCUACACACGUGCUACAAUGGCCGGUACAGAGGGCAGCCACACCGUAAGGUGGAGCGAAUCCUUAAACGUUAUCUCAGUUCGGAUCGGAUCUGCAACUCGACUCCG